This 293-nucleotide ribosomal RNA is filed under the name uncultured bacterium. RNAcentral describes it as "partial 16S ribosomal RNA". It matches the Rfam family "Bacterial small subunit ribosomal RNA", at positions 775 to 1067 of the family's 1533-position model. The record is from RNAcentral.
GGAUUAGAUACCCUGGUAGUCCACGCCGUAAACGAUGGGCACUAGGUGUCGGGAUUUAUCUCGGUGCCGGAGCUAACGCAUUAAGUGCCCCGCCUGGGGAGUACGGUCGCAAGAUUGAAACUCAAAGGAAUUGACGGGGGCCCGCACAAGCGGUGGAGCAUGUGGUUUAAUUCGAUGCAACGCGCAGAACCUUACCUAGGCUUGACAUAUAAGUGAUCGACCUGAAAGGGAAGUGGCCGUGGUUUACCACGGAUCUUAUACAGGUGCUGCAUGGCUGUCGUCAGCUCGUGCUG